This 34962-nucleotide long non-coding RNA is filed under the name Triticum aestivum (bread wheat). RNAcentral describes it as "long non-coding RNA (TAES_LNC024524)". The record is from RNAcentral. Lineage: Eukaryota; Viridiplantae; Streptophyta; Magnoliopsida; Poales; Poaceae.
CAUGCAUGCGCCUGUAAGAGUCCUCGCCUGCCCGCGAGAAAUUUUCCCAGGCCGCCGCGGCGCGGCGGGACAUCUCUGCUGCUUCCGCGGCGUGGCCGGAUCAGUCUGCUACAUCGACGGCGCGGCGGGACCUCCGUGUUGCUUCGGCGGCACGGCGGGACCUCUGUGCUGCUACUGCUGUGCGGCUGGACAUGCCGGCUGCUUUCGCGGCGAGGCGGGACAUCUCUCGUGCUUCCUCUUCCAUGCUCACCUCUCCCUGGUGAAAAUCUCUCGACCCAAAACUCACGCUGGCUAUGGCUUGAUUGACUUGAUUGUUUUUUGUGGAUGAGGAGUUUAGGAGGAAUGUGCAGUCAUCUUAGCAUAGUAAUAUUUAUAACCGAGUACUACUAAUACGCUCCUAAGUGGGAAACCUUUUAGGUUGUGAUCGGUGUCAACAGGUUUGCAAUUAAAUAUAGCGUGGUAGUAGUAGUAAUUUGGAAUGUGACGAGACACGCUCAAAAUUUAUUGAUGGUUCUAGUUUCGAAGUGCGGCACUAUUCCCGGAUGGCGUAACGUCGGCACGUUUUCUCGGCCGUGGUGUAGCAUAUGCCAUGGUACUAGUUCUUUUUCUACUGCUGUGUACGUGCAAAAACUGGCACCGUCGGAUACAUAUCUUACGCUUGGCGUUCGACAGGAAUAGCCUCGUGGCGAGCUAUAGACUAGUCUUUUUUCAGACGCAUUACACCUAUCUCUCGGGACUUCUCGCACGCACCAUCACUGCUCCCUAGGUCGAUGCCACCCACAUACACUUGUACUCUAUGAAGAGGUGCACGCACACACUCGUCCUCUCUCACACACGCAUCUGUAGCUACGAAUUGUAGUGUUCUCAACCAUCCGAUUGGCUCUAUCAUAGGUUUCAAGUUGCUCCUUGACCUUGAGAUUGAGAAGUUUAAAACGCGGAGGCUAAGAUGGAGGCGCGAGGUUUUGGUUAAUGUGCGGGCCGCACACGGCACCAACACGACACGAGCUUCGUCUGCCUGGUGCGCAUGCAGUCGGGUGAGUUGUCCAAGUAUAGACACAACCAGGCCCUCGUUGGUAUCCACGCCUCAACUUUGGCUGGUCAUAGUGGAGAGUAACAUAGACUAGUUACUAGUCUAUGUUACUAGUACCUUCAUAGUGGGUAGUGUCAUAUAGUAUAUGCAUAAUUUGGCGACGAGCGCUCUCUAUAUGUACCACCUUUUUUAUUUAAUUUCAUCUUGUUAGUUUUGCUCCAUGGCGCAAUCCAUCGAUACUACUACUGUACAAAUGUAUACAUUUUUUAAAAGGCUAGAGGGCGGGGCAGUCUAGCUUGGUCCUUUUCACGAGAGGUGAGGGCCUUUGUGAUUUGACGGCUCAUUACUGCUGGAAGGCGGGGCCUUGUGAUUUGACUGCUCGUAUAAAUGUGCCGACAACCUGAGGAGGAGCAAAGAACCGUGCGGUAUACUCAAGUUUUCCAUUGGAGUAGUACUACGACGGAGGAGCAUGAAACACGGCAGCCCAGUGCCAUAUGGCGAUAAAAAAUGAUCUAAUUGGCUAGUCAUCUCAUUGUUAGCAUUGUUCUAUUCAUGCCUCGCAGAGAACGUGAUACGUGCGGUGAAACACCCGAAGCAAAAGAAGAAACACAGGAGCAAAAGAAGAAGGAAGAUUAUCACCCCAAAUGAUCUAAUUCGCCGUGGAGUCGUAACUGCUUCUUCAUCGCCUCCACGACCUCCAUCUCCUUGCGCGUCUCCUCCACCAUCUUCUUCAUUCUGUCCAUGACGCGGGAUUUCUCGACGCGAGCCUUCAUCUCUGUUCCAUGGCCACAUUACGUACCUUGACAGCAGCCGGGUGCUCGAAGCGGAGCUUCGCCAACUCCUCCUUCUGCUCCAUGACGAGGGCUUGCAACAUCUUCAUCAAGGAACUACUACUCUCAUGCAGCUUCUUCCAGCCGGCGUUAUUCUCCUUCAAUAGGUCGAGCUCGUGGCAAAGCUUCGCCUUGUCCUCCUGAAGUUGCAGGAUUUCGCCGGUCGCCUUCUUCUCCGAAGCAAUGCUCUUCUUCAGCAGCAUCACCAAGCCAGCGGUCAACUCCCCCUGCUUAUUGAGCUCAGCAGGCAUGUCGUCGAGGCUCUCCUUCAGCAGCUCCACCAAGCCGUGGAUGAACUCCUUCUGCUUAUUGAGGUGCUUAUUGAGCUGAUCGGGCAUGCCGUCGAGGGAUAACGACUCCAGCGCCGCCAGCUCGGCAUGUUCGCCUUCGCGGCUAGGGCGCUCCUGGGAGCCAUCGCCAGCCCGUAAGAGAUCUUUCAAGGUAUCUACGUGGUGGCAAGCCCUCUCUUUUUUUUCCACAACCUUGGUUGCCACUCCCUUGUUACGAGUAGUUCUCGACCUAGAGCUCUGCGCACCGGACAUGGCAAGGACGGACGAAGAAGAAGCACUUAUGAGGAGGAAAGGUAGAGUAAUUUUCGGUUAGGUAGUUCCCCUUUUUAUAACCUAAGUACUAGCACUAGUACUAAUACCUGCAUAGUGGGAACACGUUCAGGUUUGGUACGUACUAGUAGGUGUGAGCAGGCUUGCACUUAAUUGUAGCACUAGUACUUUCGAAUGUGAUGGGAACAAGGUAAAGAUAAAUUGAUGGGUUUUGGUUUCGAGGCCUGAAACGGCUCCCGAUGAGUUUAGUCGAACAUAAAUUUGAAGUAGACUACACUGCUCAGAUGCGUAAAUAUUAUGUUACUGUCAAAAAUUGGCACAAAAUACGAAGGAGGCCAAUGGAAGUACUACUAGCAACCCAUGAUUUAACUACUCGGAUGCGUGCAGUGGAGUAGUAAUUUCUUUCUUCCGCCCUCACGUCCACUCAAUUUGCAUGCGCUGUGCUACCUCUUGAGCACUGCGUUGGUUUUCCCUUGAAGAGGAAAGGGUGAUGCAGUAAAGUAGCGUAAGUAUUUCCCUUAGUUUUUGAUAACCAAGGUAUCAAUCCAGUGGGAGACUACGCUCGAGUCCCACGCACCUACACAAACAAAUAAGAACCUCGCAACCAACGCGAUAAAGGGGUUGUCAAUCCCUUCACGGUCACUUACGAGAGUGAGAUCUGAUAGAUAUGAUAAGAUAAUAUUUUUGGUAUUUUUAUGAUAAAGAUAAAUAAAGAUGCAAAGUAAAAUAAACGGCAAUAGAAAUAGCUAAGUAUUGGAAGAUUAAUAUGAUGGAAAUUAGACGCGGGGGCCAUAGGUUUCACUAGUGGCUUCUCUAAAGAUAGCAUAAGUAUUACGGUGGGUGAACAAAUUACUGUCGAGCAAUUGAUAGAAUUGAGCAUAGUUAUGAGAAUAUCUAGGUAUGAUCAUGUAUAUAGGCAUCACGUCCGUGACAAGUAGACCGAAACGAUUCUGCAUCUACUCCUAUUACUCCACACAUCAACCGCUAUCCAGCAUGCAUCUAGAGUAUUAAGUUCAUAAGAAGAGAGUAAUGCUUUAAGCAAGAUGACAUGAUGUAGAGGGAUAAACUCAUGCAAUAUGAUAUAAACCCCAUCUUUUUAUCCUCGAUGGCAACAAUACAAUACGUGCCUUGCUGCCCCUGCUGUCUCUGGGAAAGGACACCGCAAAGAUUGAACCCAAAGCUAAGCACUUCUCCCAUUGCAAGAAAGAUCAAUCUAGUAGGCCAAACCAAACUGAUAAUUCGAAGAGACUUGCAAAGAUAACCAAUCAUACAUAAAAGAAUUCAGAGGAGAUUCAAAUAUUGUUCAUAGAUAAUCUUCAUCAUAAACCCAUAAUUCAUCGGUCUCGACUAACAUACUGCAAAAGAAGAGUUACAUCAAAUAGAUCUCCAAGAGAAUCGAGGAGAACCUUGUAUUGAGAUCCAAAGAGAGAGAAGAAGCCAUCUAGCUAAUAACUAUGGACCCGAAGGUCUGAGGUAAACUACUCACACAUCAUCGGAGAGGCUAUGGCGUUGAUGUAGAAUCCCUCCGUGAUCAAUGCCCCCUCCGGCAGGACGCCGGAAAAGGCCCCAAGAUGGGAUCUCACGGGUACAGAAGGUUGCGGCGGUGGCAUUAGGUUUUCGUGGAUGCCUCUGAUGGUUUGCGGGUACGUAGGUAUAUAUAGCAGGAAGAAGUAGGUCGGUGGAGCCAUGAGGGGCCCACGAGGGCGGAGGGCGCGCCUGGGGGGGGGGGGUAGGCGCGCCCCCCUACCUCAUGGCCGCCUCGUCUGUUGCUUGACGUCCACUCCAAGUCCUCUGGAUCACGUUUGUUCCAAAAUCACGUUCCCGAAGGUUUCAUUCCGUUUGGACUCCGUUUGAUAUUCUUUUUCUGCGAAACACUGAAAUAGGCAAAAAACAGCAAUUUGGGCUGGGCCUCCGGUUAGUAGGUUAGUCCCAAAAAUAAUAUAAAAGUGUAUAAUAAAGCCCAUUAAACAUCCAAAACAGAAUAUAAUAUAGCAUGGAACAAUCAAAAAUUAUAGAUAUGUUGGAGACGUAUCACGCUGUAUUAAUUGACCAUCAAUGAAGUGAAGGACCUUACACGCAUCAAAUUAUCACAUGGGGUGGAUCUUGGUACAAAAUUGCGUCCGCCCGUGUACCCGCGUGUGCGUGCGAGGGAAUGAGUGCAUGUGUGGCGUUCGUGCACAUCUUCGCUUCAUGCAUGUACCGCCAGUGUGGCUCAGGGAGGACGAGUACAUUCUUCUGGAACCAGCAGCACGUCACUGUGAUCAAUCCACACAAGGAUGUCGCGACAACGCCUCCACAUGUGCCACGUGGCUUCAUGAACUGUAAGAGAGACACUGUGUAGCGUGCCAUUGUGUUUUGCACAUACUCGAAGUAUUAGUAAGGUACACGUGCAUUGCACGUGUCAGAUUUUGCAACAAAAUUAUGAAUAAAUACCACACUAUAGCAUGUAAGCUCUGAGUCAUAUAUGCCUGAUGUAGACCGUCGUUUAAUUCUUAUAGUUCAUCUCAUUCAAAAUCAAUUAGUUUUUAUAAAAAAACCUAGGGCCUCUUUGAUUCGUAGGGUUUCCAAAACGCGAGAAUAGGAAGAACAUGGGAUUAGAGUGGAAUGUCGUCUUGAAUCCUACAGGAUUGUACGAGUGUUUGAUUGUGCAUAGAAAAAACGCAGAAUUCUUUCAAAGAGGUUUGAGUGGAUGGGAUGUUUCCUAUGAAAUCUAGUGCAAAUGAAUCAUAUGGAAAAAUUCCUAUGGUUUACAAUCCUACGAAUCAAACAACCAAGAUAGGAAAAAUUCCUAAGGAUUAGAAUCCUCCAAAAUUCCUUUGAGAAUCCUUUGAAUCAAAGAAGCCCUUAAUCUAUUUUAUGAUUCAUGGAAUUGUGCGUUGUAAAGCAUAAAGUAAAAAUAAUAAUGGCAAUUGAACUAGAAAAAAAGUUUGGGCAGUUAUGAUACGGAAGAUUCUAGAACAAAGGAGAACCACUGUUGUUUUGAGAUUUGUGCAUUAUGCUUAAGUUCAACCACGGAGUCUGCUAGAUUCUACAUGUGGCAAAAUCUGGUGGGGGGCUAGAAGAUGGUGCGAGGGGCCGAGUGGAGGGAGACUAUGAAGCAGUGCACAAUCGCGAGAUCGAUAUUUAGAGAGAGGGGGCGAGAACGUGCGCUGUUGCGCGCAGUGGCAGAGCCAUGAAAAAUGUCCCAUCAGCUAGGGGGCCAAGCAUUGCUAAUCCUUUACGAGGUGGGCCAAUUCAUCAACUUAAACCAUUUUUACCAGCAAUUGUCUAAUGAUCACAUUCGUAUUAGCCUCGAUAUAUAGUGAUGUUAGGGGGGGCAGGGCCUUUGCUGCCCCCUGUCUUCGCCAUGGUGCUUGCGUCUGAGAGAUGAAGCGGAAGGCAUGGAUGAUGAGAGCUAUAUAUGUAAUCCUAUAUAGAGAGGUAUAGAUUGAUCGAUGUGGGCAUGGGAAAGAGGGUGAGACCUCACUAGAUAUAUAGAUUGAUCGGUUUAUGUGGAAAACUACGAAAGACCUAGCUAUAUACACACACACAUAGAGGAACAUCGAUCGUUGCGCAUGCACGUGAGAGAUAAAGAACGCCCGAUAUGAUGGAGAGGUGUGUGUGUGUGUGUGUGCCUUCAUGGGAGACCGACCUGAAGAAAAAGACUGCAUGUGUGCGAUGGACAAUGCCGACUGGUAGUGUGUGUGCAUGCAUGCAUGAGACAAAGUUAGUGGUACAAUUAUAAAGAGAAGACCAAUGUGUGGGUGUAAAAGACUAGGUGAGGUCAUAAUCGAUGUAAAGUUGAAUUCAAAUAUUCGAAUAAGAGAUCAUGAUGUUUGAAACCCAUGCAUGCAUGAAUACAACGGAGUUCUGUGCGGUGUGGUCUGGAAACGAGCAUGUUGUAAUGUAUACACAUUGAACAAGGUCAGACUGGUUUGAAUUUGAGAUACCGAUGACAGACAUCGUUUGGCCACAUUGCAUCCGUGCAUGGACACACUAUUCUAAUUGGAGAUGAUGGGUGGCUUCGCAUCACAUAUCUAUAUCUAUACCCUAUAUAUAUAUAUAUAUAUUAUUUUAUAUUUUUUAUAUAGUGUGCGGAUAACUUAAACUUUGAAAGAUGGUCGUUGGAUGAGGCCAAUCCGAUGGUGCAGAGCUGGCAAAUUUGAACACUACUGGUCAUUGGAUAUCAUCUAGAUUCCACCAGAUUUUGCCACAUGUACAAUCUAGAAGACUCUAUGGUUGAACUUAAGCAUAAUGCACAAACCUCAAAACACAAGCACUUCUUCUUUGUUCUAGAAUCUUCCGUAUCAGAAUUGCCCAAAUGUUUUUCUACAUGAUUUGUUUUACUUUAUGCCUUACAACGCACAAUUCCAUGAAUCUUAAAAUAGAUUAGCUUUCUUAUAAAAACUAGAUGAUUUUGAAUGAAAUGAACUAUAAGAAUUAAACGAACAUCUACAUCAUGUAUAUAUGACUCAAAGCUUACAUGCUAUAAUGUGGUAUUUAUUCAUAAUUUGGUUGCCAAAUCUCAUGCGCGCAAUGCACGUGUACCUUACUAGUCUAAAUGGUGUCUGUGUGUGUUGUGCGUGUUAAAUACAUUGUAUGUAGUAUAUCGUACUAGUCUAAAUUGUCUUUUUUCUUGUACACGUUAAGCUCGUUCUCCCGAAAUUUCAAGCCGCGCCUUGUUAUGCCAAACUUUCAAGCUAGCGUCUCUGUCUAUCAUGCUGCGAAACUCCCGCCUCUUCAACCCGCGCCUUGUUACCCCGAAAUAUUAAAGAUAAAUCUUUGUCUUGUUGUGCUCUGACAACUCCCUCCAUCUCAACCCGCGCCUUGCUAUUCCAAAAUUACAACGCGCGCGAAAACUCCCACCUCCUGUGAAAUCCUGACACGCGAAAUGCUCGUGAUACCCCUGAACUGAAAGAACCGCCUCAAAUCGGUGGGGGUACUUUCGUAACUUACCCCACAUUUCGGACAAGCGCGUCCCUAAGCCAUGGUUCCCCACUCCCAUCCAAUCCGCCCACACAUUCGUACACCGAGGCCGGGAAAACCCGCGAAGCCCCACACCCUCCUCCGUCCGCCACCCAGCCGGAGCCUCUUCCCCGACGACGUCGUCCACAGCAACACCUCGACGUCCCUCAUCCACCGUACCGGAUGAGGAUCCGUCAUCGAUCUGGUCGUCCCGCCGGUUCAGCCACCCCAUCCUCCACCUCCAAGGAGCUUCCCCUACGUUCCCCUCGUCUUUCACGCCACCUCCAUUCCCACACCGCCGUCUUCACCUGCACCACCGGAAGAGCAUCAUCAUCACCGUUUCCUCAGAUGAAGCUGCGGCCUAAUCGGCGCUGUGACGCCCCCGAUUCAAUCGUACACUAAUCAUACACGCAAAUGUGUACGAUCAAGAUCGAGGACUCACGGGAAGAUAUCACAACACAACUCUAGAUACAAAUUAAAAUAAAACAAGCUUUAUAUUACAAGCCAGGGGCCACGAGGGCUCGAAUACAAGUGCUCGAUCAUAGACGAGUCAGCGGAAGCAACAAUAUCUGAGUAUAGACAUAAGUUAAAUAAGUCUGCCUUAAGAAGGCUAGCACAAACUAGGAUACAGAUCGAAAGAGGCGCAGGCCUCCUGCCUGCGAUCCUCCUAAACUACUCUUGGUCAUCGUCAGCGGCUUGAACGUAGUAGUAGGCACCUCCGGUGUAGUAGGAGUCGUCGUCGACGGUGGCGUCUGGCUCCUGGGCUCCGGCAUCUGGUUGCGACAACCAGAGAGAAAGGAAAGGGGGAAAAGGGAGAGAAAAGCAACCGUGAGUACUCAUCCAAAGUACUCGCAAGCAAGGAGCUACACUACAUAUGCAUGGGUACAUGUGUAAAGGGCCAUAUCGGUGGACUAAACUGCAGAAUGCCAGAAUAAGAGGGGGAUAGCUAAUCCUAUCGAAGACUACACUUCAGGCCACCUCCAUCUUGCAGCAUGUAGAAGAGAGUAGAUGGUAAGUUCACCAAGUAGCAUCGGAUAGCAUAAACCUACCCGGCGAUCCCCUCCUCGUCGCCCUGUUAGAGAGCGAUCACCGGAUUAUAUCUGGCACUUGGAAGGCUGUGUUUUAUUAAGUAUCCAGUUCUAGUUGUCAUAAGGUCAAGGUAAAACUCCGGGUCGUCCUUUUGCCGAGGGACACGGCUAUUCGAAUAGAUAAACUUCCCUGCAGGGGUGCACCACAUAACCCAACACGCUCGAUCCCAUUUGGCCGGACACACUUUUCUGGGUCAUGCCCGGCCGCGGAAGAUCAACACGUCGCAGCCCCACCUAGGCACAACAGAGAGGUCAGCACGCCGGUCUAAAUCCUAUGGCGCAGGGGUCUGGGCCCAUCGCCCAUUGCACACCUGCACGUUGCGAACGCGGCCGGAAGCAGACCUAGCCUAGCAGGCAUUCCAGUCCAAUCCGGCGCGUGCCGCUCAGUCGCUGACGUCACGAAGGCUUCGGCUGAUACCACGACGUCGAGUGCCCAUAACUGUUCCCACGUAGUUGGUUAGUGCGUAUAGACCAAAUGGCCAGACUCAUAUCAAAUACCAAGAACUCGUUAAGCGUGUUAUUUUGAAGUAACCGCAGACGCCGUCCAGGGCCAGGCCCACCUCUCGCCUAGGUGGUCUCAACCUGCCCUGUCGCUCCGCCACAAGAUCCACUCGCGGGUACUCCUAUGAGCCGACCCGACUUUAGUCACCACAGGUAUCAUGUAUAGAGUAUAUAAGUAUAUACCCGUGAUCACCGCCCAAGUGAUCACGGCCCGAUAGUAUAGCACAGCAGACGGACAAGAAUGUAGGGCCACUGAUGGAAAACUAGCAUCCUAUACUAAGCAUGUAGGAUUGCAGGUAAAGGUAACAACAGUAGUAGCAAGGACAGGCUAUGCAUCAGGAUAGGAUUAACGGAAAGCAGUAACAUGCUACACUACUCUAAUGCAAGCAGUAUAGAGAAGAAUAGGCGAUAUCUGGUGAUCAAGCGGGGGUGCUUGCCUGAUUGCUCUAGUAAGGAGGGGUCGUCAAUAGCGUAGUCGGUUGGGGCACCAGCAGCGGCAUCGGUCUCGUAGUCUACCAGAGAGAAGAGGGGGAAGAAACAAUGAAUACAAUGCAAACAGAUGCAUAACGAUGCAUGACAUGACAAAGCGUGAGGCUAGGUGUUCCCAAACGCGGUACUAGGUGAUACCGGCGAAGGGGGGAAACAUCCGGGAAAGUAUUCCCGAUGUUUCGCGUUUUCGGACAAAUGGACCGGAGGUGAAAUGUUGCAGGUUCACUAUGCUAGGGACGUGUGGUGAACGAACGGUCUGCGUAUCCGGAUUCGUCUCGUCGUUCUGAGCAACUUUCAUGUAGAAAGUAUUUUCAUCCGAGUUACGGAUUAUUUUAUAUGAUUUUCUAAAGUUUUAAUCAUUUUCUGAUUUUAAUUAUUUAUUUAAAUCCAACAUUAUCUAGCACAGUAUGGGAUGACGUCAGCAUGACGUAUGUGUGAUGUCAGCAGUCAACAGUGCGGCUGACUAGUCAAACCAGACAGGUGGGUCCAGUGGGACCCACAUGUCAGUGACAGAGCUUAACUAACAGAGUUAUUUUAACCUAACUAACCUAAUCAGCGAGUGGGGCCCAGUAGUGAGUGAGAGAUUAGGGUUUUAAUUAGCUAAACUAUUUAAUUAACUAAUUAUUCUUUUAUUUAUUUCAUUUAUUGAGGUGGGACCUAUAGGUCAGUGAGACAGGGCGGCCCAGUCAGCAGUUGACUCAGUCAACUGGUCAACAGGGGGCCCUGGGCCCACCUGUCAGUGGCCCAGGCGGUGGGACCCGCGGCACCAGGUCAGCGCGGCCGGCUCUCGCCGCCGGCGACCAAAUGCACGGCGCUGACCCGCCGGAGUUCGCCGGAAAAUGCGCACAGGGCACGGAUCCGUGCGCGCAUGGGCUCGUUCGAACGAGCGUGAAGAGGCGCAUCUAGUGGUGGCGGUGGCGUGGCCGGAGAUGGCCGGAAGUGACGGCGGCAAGCCCACGGCGGAUGGUCGGAGUCGGGCAUGAGUGGAUCCAGCACUAGGGGGCACGGGAAGGCAUGUGCGCGCGCGCGUUGGGUUCCUGGAAGCUCCAAGAACACGGUGACGGGCUCAGGCGAGCAAGACGAUGGCUGUGGUGACGGCCACGAGCUCGUCGGCGGCGGACAGAAACGGGCGCGGUGGCAAACUAGCUACCGUGCGCUAGGAAGCUAACUGAGAGGGCGGGAGGCGGAGGAGCUCACCGAGCGGCACACACGGAGGCCGGUGAAAGGUUUAGUAGCAGCAGAGGGGCGUCGCCGGAGUUGGUGAAGAGCGGCGGCGACAGGAGAUGCGGAAUAAGGGGACCGUUGCAGCAGCGCCUCUGAGCUCCAGCUGCGGCCACCGGUCGACGAGGAAGACGAUGGCGGAGACGACGGACACGCUGGCGAGGCGAGGCGAUGGCUGUGGCCGCGCGUUUCACGGCGGCGGGUCCAUGGCGGCGUUCGAACACGGUGGGGAACGAAGGGGAGAGGGAAGUGGAUCUGAGGGGGAGGCGCAGAGGCCGAGAGGGAGAGUGGGGGUGAGUGGGAGGCGGGAUCGAGGAGGCGGGGCGUGGUGGCCUUAUCCUCUCCUCGACGCCGGCGAGGGGGUCCGGCGGGGACGCGCCCCUGUUCCGACCCUGGUCAGGGGAACAGGGAAGGGGACGGAGCGACCGAGGGAGGUGGCUGGGACGGCCGGAUGGGCCAGGUGGGCCAGCCUGACUGCGAGCUGGGCCGUCUGGUCGAGGGGGUCCUUUUCUCUUUUUUUCUCUUUUGUCUUCUCCUUUUGUAUUUUCUUUUCUUUUCCUUUUCUGUUUUAUUUAAUUUAGGGCAUUUAAGUAUUUUAUAAAAUUUUGUCUUCUACACCAUAAUUACCUAUGCCAUUUUUGGCACUGCCCGAACAUUUUUGUUUCAACUUUUGAAAACUUUGGGUGUUUGUCACUAAUUCAUUUUUUUGAAUUUGAAAUAUUUUGAACUAACACUUGAUUAGCAACAGUAACAGAGAUGGCAUGGCAUCAUCAGGAGAGUUUAAUGUAGCCUAAUUAUCCGAGCGUUACAAAUCUCCUCCACUACAAGAAAUCUCGUCCCGAGAUUUAGGAGGUAGAAGGAAACAGUGCGGGGUAUUCAUCACGCAGGCGAUCCUCGUGUUCCCAAGUGGCUUCAUCUUCAGAAUGGUGCGACCACUGGACUUUGAGGAACUUGAUCGCCUUCUGAUGUGUGCGGCAUUCAGCUUGGUCGAGAAUGCGGACCGGAUGCUCUUUAUAGGAGAGGUCCUGCUGCAAUUUGAGCACUUCAUGAUCCACUGCUCGGAUUGGGUCCUUGAAGCAAUGGCGGAGCUGUGACACGUGGAACACAUCGUGAACCUGAGAAAGGUUCGGCGGAAGUUCAAGUUGAUAUGCCACUUUUCCACGCCUUUCGAGAAUAGUGAAUGGGCCAAUAUAGCGAGGAGCUAGCUUGCCCUUGAUCCCGAAGCGGCGAGCACCCUUCAUUGGUGUAACUCGAAGAUAAGCCUUUUCGCCGGGUUGAUAGACCAUGACUUUAAGAUGACGGUCAUACUGACUCUUCUGACGUGACUGAGUAGUCUUGAGAUUCUCACGAAUAAUGCGGACUUGUUCUUCGGCACGUUGGAUAAUAUCCGGACCAAAGAGUGGACGUUCCCCAGUUUCUGACCAGUUCAGAGGGGUUCGGCACUUUUGCCCAUAUAACACUUCGAAGGGGGCCAUCUUUAGACUAGCUUGAUAGCUAUUAUUAUAAGAGAACUCAGCAUACAGGAGAGAUUCCUCCCAUUUCUUGCCGAAGGAAAUAACACAAGCUCGAAGCAUAUCUUCGAGAACUUGGUUGACACGUUCAGCUUGCCCUUGCGACUGAGGAUGAAACGCAGUACUGAAUGACAGAUGAGUUCCCAUAGCUUCUUGGAAACUUGCCCAGAAUCUUGAAGUGAAUAAGCUGCCACGGUCUGAGCUGAUAACCAACGGAAUACCGUGGAGUGAAACAAUCCUGGACAUAUAGAGCGUUGCCAGCUGACUAGCAGUGAUCGUUUCUUUGACCGCCAGAAAAUGUGCAACUUUGGAAAGCCGGUCAAUGACGACAAGAAUAGCAUCAUUACCUUUCUGUGAUUUGGGGAAUCCAGUGACGAAGUCCAUCUCAACAUGGUCCCAUUUCCAUUCAGGAAUAGAGAUAGGUUGCAGAGUUCCAGCAGGCCUUUGAUGUUCUGCUUUGAUACGAUGGCAAACGUCACACUCAGCAACAUAACGAGCAAUGUCUUGCUUCAUAUUAGACCACCAGAAUCUCUGACGGAUGUCUUGGUACAUGUUUGUACUACCAGGAUGGAUACAUAGAGGCGUAUCAUGAGCUUCUUUCAUAACUUCCUGAGUCAUAUCCAGGUUUUUCUCUACACAUGGCACCACUAGGCGGCCCUUGAAGUACAAAGUGCCAUCAUCAGCAAUAGUGAAGAAUGAGGGCUUUCCUUCUACGAGGUAGCGCUUAAUCUUGUGGGCUUCAGAGUCAUAUCCCUGUAUUCUCUUGAUGGAGUCCAAGAGAUCUGGUUCGACAGCCAGGGUAUUGAGGGAACCCUGGGAAACAACAUGGAGGUUCAUCUUGCGAAACUCCUUAGGAGGGGGAGCGAGUGCACCCGGAGGAACAAUAUGGAGGUUCAGCUUUCUGAAUUCUUCAACAAGCGAGGGCUGAACUUUGUGAACCUGGAGGUGGUUGCAGUAAGACUUGCGGCUCAAGGCAUCAGCCAUUACAUUAGCCUUGCCUGGCAUAUAGGAAAUACCCAAGUCAAAGUCUGCAACAAUCUCCAUCCAUCUCUGCUGACGGAGGUUCAGGUCUGGCUGAGUAAACAGAUACUUCAGACUUUGGUGGUCAGUGAAGAUCUCGCAACGAUUACCGAGAAGGUAAUGUCGCCACUGCUUCAGCGCAUGAAUGACAGCAGCAAGUUCGAGGUCGUGAACUGGGUAGUUCUCUUCGUGAGGGCGCAAUUGCCGAGAGGCAUAAGCAAUCACUUUGCAGUCUUGCAUUAGGACACAGCCUAAUCCUUGACGAGAAGCGUCGCAGUAAAUGAAAAAGUCCUUCUUAGUAUCAGGUGGAGCUAGAACUGGGGCAGAAGUCAACUUGUCUUUGAGUGCCUGGAAACUUUCCUGACAUUUGUCUGUCCAUUGGAACUUGACGCCCUUAUGCAACAGGUUAGUCAGAGGCCUGGCAAUCUUGGAGAAGUUCUCGACGAAUCGACGGCAAUAGCUGGCGAGACCGAGAAAACUUCUGACUUGCUUAACGUUCUUCGGAGGAGUCCAAUCAAGAAUAGCCUGGACUCGUUCAGGGUUGACGGCAAUACCAUCCUUAGAGAUGACAUGCCCCAGAUAGGUUACUUCGGGUAGCCAGAAUUCACAUUUGGAGAACUUGGCAUAUAGUUGAUGCUCUCGUAGCUUUUCCAGCACAAGACGAAGAUGUUCAGCAUGUUCCUCUUCGUUCUUGGAAAAUACCAGGAUAUCAUCCAGAUAAACCACGACGAACUUGUCGAGGUAAUCCAUGAAUAUAUAGUUCAUCAGACGAGAGAAGGUGGCUGGAGCAUUGGUUAAACCGAAAGACAUGACAGUGUACUCGUAUGAACCAUAUCGAGUCACGAAGGCGGUCUUUGGGAUAUCCUCUUCACGAACACGGAUCUGGUGGUAACCCAACCUCAAGUCGAGCUUAGAGAACACUGAUGAACCCGCCAGUUGAUCAUACAGAUCAUUGAUCCGAGGAAGAGGAUAUUUAUUCUGAAUGGUAGCUUGGUUUACAGGACGGUAUUCUUGAACUAAUCGGUUUGUCCCAUCCUUCUUCUUGACAAAGAGAGAAGGUGCUCCCCAAGGAGAGCAACUUGGGCGGAUGAAUCCUUUGCGAAGGGAUUUGUCGAUUUCCUCCUUAAGCUCAAGGAGUUCAUGCGGCGGCAUCUUGUAGGGUCGCUUGGCUAUAGGAGUGGUGCCUGGUUUCAAGUCGAUGAUGAAUUCAACAGCUCUAGCAGGGGGAAUCCCUGGAAGUUCUUCAGGAAAGACGUCGAGGAAUUCACGCACGAUGGAAAUGUUUUCAAUGCCCUCGAGUGGUGCAGCGUUCAAUGCAUUCAAUGCAUAGAGCCUUGCCUUGGCAUUUUGCACCAGAUGAGCUUGGUAAGUAACUAUUUCAUCUGAAGGGUGUAGUAGAUGGACGGUCUUAGUGGCGCAAACGAUAGAAGCAGUAUGCGCUUUUAACCAAUUCAUUCCUAGAAUGAGAUCAAUGCUACAGGACUUCAGUACGAUGGGAGAGACAAGAAAUUCCAGUCCUUCAAUUUCAACAGGAACGUCGUGACUAACCAUAGAGGUUUGACAUUGGCCUGCAGGGGUGUGUACCACUAGCGGAGUGUUCAUCUCUUCGUAUUUAAUGCCAUGCAUGAAUGCAAAUUCUGCUGAUAUGAAUGAAUGGGAUGCUCCUGUAUCAAAUAAAACGGAUGCUGGUACUGAAUGUACGAGAAGAGUACCCAUCACGGUAGCAGGCUGGUCUUGAGCUUCGUUGAGAUCAACGUGGUUGGCAUGAACACGACCAUAAGACUUGGCAGUGUUGUUGCGGGGCUGGUUGCUUCCAUGGCCAGUUGCUGGAAGGGCCAGUUGAUUCUGGUUCUGGUUGCAUUCCCUAGCACGGUGCCCUGGUUGACCACACCUGAAGCACAAACCAUUAUUUGGAGUGGGAACAGGAGCUUGGGGUGGUGGAGCUGGAAGCCCUGGCUGCCUAGUUGGAGGAGUAGGCAGAUGAGGUGCAGCAUAGGUCUGCCUUGGGGCAGGUGCAGUUGGACGGUACAUGUUGUUCGGGAUCCAUAUCUUACGCUUCUGCGAGGGCGGGCCCGAAGAUGGGCCCGUGUCACGGUUGCGCCUGUGAGAGCUCUGGUAUUCCUGCAGACCAGUUUCGACAUUGAUGGCCUUGUUCACCAAGGUGGCGAAAUCAGUAAAGUCAUGCACUAGAAGUGUGAGCUUGAUGUCAGCUUGAAGGCCAUCACGGAACUUCUCCUGUCUGCGUGCAUUAGUUGCAAUGUCCUCUUCAGCAUAGCGAGACAAGUCCAGAAACUCCCGCUGAUAAGCUUCAACAGUUUUGUUGCCUUGGGUGAGGUUGCGGAACUCACGCUUCUUCCGGUCCAUGACUCCCUGAGGAAUGAAGCGGGCACGGAAAGCAGCUUGGAAGUCUGGCCAGGUGAUGAUUGUUCCAGCUGGCAGAGUACGCCUGUGGCUGUCCCACCAUUGAGCUGCGGGUCCCUUCAGGAAGAAGGAAGCAAAGGUGACAUAGCUGGCAGGGGCUACAUCGGUAGACUCCAUCUCAUAGGUGAUGUCACGGAGCCAGUCAUCAGCAUCCAGAGGCUGAGUUGAGCUGCGGUACACAGUUGGGUUGAGGCGCAUGAAAUCCUGCAGAGUUACUGGGGUUGGUUGCUGGUCCAUAUUGGGGCGAGGAAACUGAGCCAUCAUAUUUUACAUGAAUUGGCGGUUCAGUUCGAACUGUUGGAUCAUACCAGCCAUGUACUCAGGUGGUGGUGGGGCAUUGCCACCACUACCACGACCACCUAGUCUAACCAUCCUGCUAAUAUAUAACAGGGGUAGUUCAGCAUUGAGAAAUUUGCAAAGGCAAGAAUCAUUCAUGAUGAAACAUGCAUAAUGAAAGGAGCACGAUAGCUACUACAUAGUAGUCGGCAUAACUUACAAAAGGGGGUCAUGCAUAGAGUUCAGUACACAGACUUCAGUACAUAGACUAAAACACCAUAGGCAGCACACAGGCUCGCGGCGAAUGCAUCUAACACUAACAAGCAAGCCUACAUCAGUCCCAAGAGGUACUGUGGAGGUAGGUGUAGCCUGAAAGCUGGUAGUGUCGCAUCGAGAACUCCACGUCAGCAUCCUGGGGUCCGCGAAUACUCUGGUGCAGAACCUGACGCUCAGGUGGCAGAAGAGGACCAUGUGCGGGAGAGUAGCCUCCCACAUCUGGCCAGCCAACACCCUGGGGCAUCACAGUCCUGGCUGGGUAGAUCGCAGAACGGGGCAGCUCUCUAGAUCGGACAAAGGGGUGCAACAGCGUCAGAGCACGGUAAAGGUGCUGACGGGUGGUGUACAACUCGUGGCCAAGAGCACGGUUAGCUCGAUCCAGCCCAUCAGCAUGCAAAACCAGGUUCUGAUGGUAGAAGGGCUCUCGGGUGACAGUGGAGUAGGCAGCAGUAUAGUAUCCCUCCGCACCAACAUCAGAUGCGAUAGCAAUGUGCCUGAAAGGGGAGGUGUCCAACUCCCGAUACUCUCCACGAAGACGUGUCAGAGCAGCAUAAGCAGCAUCGUGGAAGCCAUAUCGAUGGUCACUCCAACACCAUGAGCGGUGUGCAGCACAGUAGUGGAGUCAUACUCCCGAGAGUAGAGGUGGACGAUGGCACGGUACUGCUCCUGGUUAAAGUCCUGGUACUCCUCGUAGACGGUGUACUCAGGGUGCCAGCGAUAACCCAGAUAGGUCAUCAUCUCAGCUAGCAAAGCAGGUGAUCCCGAGGCACCAAUGGCCGUCGUGUGGCGCACGACCUGCCUCGUGGGUUCCAUCUGAAAGCAAAGAUGUUUCAAAGGAGUUAAAUGACAAUGUGGGAAUUGUUCAAAAUACUAUUCUAAGAAAUAACUAUGGCUUAUCCAACUUUGGGGUGAAUGUGGUCACGGGAUCCUAGUGUUAGAGUUAGUAAAUUCGUUUAACCCGAGUAGAAGAGAGUUCAGAGUCCCAGAGUAAAGGUCGAGGAGUAAAAGAUCCUAGUACCACCCAAUGGCGACGUGGGCCCGUAAGACACACAGCCAUGUUAGUAAAAGUUUUGUAAUGUCUAGACUCGACUUCGGCCAAGGAGUUGGAAAGGGGGCUACCUACAGGCAGUCGGCUCUGAUACCAACUUGUGACGCCCCCGAUUCAAUCGUACACUAAUCAUACACGCAAAUGUGUACGAUCAAGAUCGAGGACUCACGGGAAGAUAUCACAACACAACUCUAGAUACAAAUUAAAAUAAAACAAGCUUUAUAUUACAAGCCAGGGGCCUCGAGGGUUCGAAUACAAGUGCUCGAUCAUAGACGAGUCAGCGGAAGCAACAAUAUCUGAGUACAGACAUAAGUUAAACAAGUCUGCCUUAAGAAGGCUAGCACAAACUGGGAUACAGAUCGAAAGAGGCGCAGGCCUCCUGCCUGGGAUCCUCCUAAACUACUCCUGGUCGUCGGCAGCGGCAUGAACGUAGUAGUAGGCACCUCCGGUGUAGUAGGAGUCGUCGUCGACGGUGGCGUCUGGCUCCUGGGCUCCGGCAUCUGGUUGGGACAACCGGAGAGAAAGGAAAGGGGGAAAAGGGAGAGAAAAGCAACCGUGAGUACUCAUCCAAAGUACUCGCAAGCAAGGAGCUACACUACAUAUGCAUGGGUAUAUGUGUAAAGGGCCAUAACGGUGGACUGAACUGCAGAAUGCCAGAAUAAGAGGGGGAUAGCUAAUCCUAUCGAAGACUACGCUUCAGGCCACCUCCAUCUUGCAGCAUGUAGAAGAGAGUAGAUGGUAAGUUCACCAAGUAGCAUCGGAUAGCAUAAACCUACCCGGCGAUCCCCUCCUCGUCGCCCUGUUAGAGAGCGAUCACCGGGUUAUAUCUGGCACUUGGAAGGGUGUGUUUUAUUAAGUAUCCGGUUCUAGUUGUCAUACGGUCAAGGUACAACUCCGGGUCAUCCUUUUACCGACGGACACGGCUAUUCAAAUAGAUAAACUUCCCUGCAGGGGUGCACCACAUAACCCAACACGCUCGAUCCCAUUUGGCCGGACACACUUUUCUGGGUCAUGCCCGGCCGCGGAAGAUCAACACGUCGCAGCCCCACCUAGGCACAACAAAGAGGUCAGCACGCCGGUCUAAAUCCUAUGGCGCAGGGGUCUGGGCCCAUCGCCCAUUGCACACCUGCACGUUGCGAACGCGGCCGGAAGCAGACCUAGCCUAGCAGGCGUUCCAGUCCAAUCCGGCGCGCGCCGCUCAGUCGCUGACGUCAUGAAGGCUUCGGCUGAUACCACGACGUCGAGUGCCCAUAACUGUACCCGCGUAGUUGGUGAGUGUGUAUAGACCAAAUGGCCAGACUCAGAUCAAAUACCAAGAACUCGUUAAGCGUGUUAUUUUGAAGUAACCGCGGACAUCGUCCAGGGCCAGGCCCACCUCUCUCCUAGGUGGUCUCAACCUGCCCUAUCGCUCUGCCACAAGAUCCACUCGCAGGUACUCCUACGAGCCGACCCGACUUUAGUCACCACAGGUAUCAUGUAUAGAGUAUAUAAGUAUAUACCCGUGAUCACCGCCCAAGUGAUCACGACCCGAUAGUAUAGCACAGCAUACGGACAAGAAUGUAGGGCCACUGAUGGAAAACUAGCAUCCUAUUCUAAGCAUGUAGGAUUGUAGGUAAAGGUAACAACAGUAGUAGCAAGGACAAGCUAUGCAUCAGGAUAGGAUUAACGGAAAGCAGUAACAUGCUACACUACUCUAAUGCAAGCAGUAUAGAGAAGAAUAGGUGAUAUCUGGUGAUCAAGGGGGGGGCUUGCCUGAUUGCUCUGGCAAGAAGGAGGGGUCGUCAACAGCGUAGUCGGUCGGGGCACCAGCAGCGACGUCGGUCUCGUAGUCUACCGGAGAGAAGAGGGGGAAGAAACAAUGAAUACAAUGCAAACAGAAGCAUAACGAUGCAUGACAUGACAAAGCGUGAGGCUAGGUGUGCCCAAACGCUGUACUAGGUGAUACCGGCGAAGGGGGGAAACAUCCGGGAAAGUAUUCCCGAUGUUUCGCGUUUUCGGACAUAUGGACCGGAGGUGAAAUGUUGCAGGUUCACUAUGCUAGGGACGUGUGGUGAACGAACGGGCUGUGUAUCCGGAUUCAUCUCGUCGUUCUGAGCAACUUUCAUGUAGAAAGUAUUUUCAUCCGAGUUACGGGUUAUUUUAUAUGAUUUUCUAAAGUUUUAAUCAUUUUAUGAUUUUAAUUAUUUAUUUAAAUCCAACAUUAUCCAGAACAGUAUGGGAUGACAUCAGCAUGACGUAUGUGUGAUGUCAGCAGUCAACAGUGCGGUUGACUAGUCAAACCAGACAGGUGGGUCUAGUGGGACCCACAUGUCAGUGACAGAGCUUAACUAACAGAGUUAUUUUAACCUAACUAACCAAAUCAGCGAGUGGGGCCCAGUAGUGAGUGAGAGAUUAGGGUUUUAAUUAGCUAAACUAUUUAAUUAACUAAUUAUUCUUUUAUUUAUUUCAUUUAUUGAGGUGGGGCCUAUAGGUCAGUGAGACAGGGGUGGCCCAGUCAGCAGUUGACUCAGUCAACUGGUCAACAGGGGGCCCUGGGCCCACCAGUCAGUGGCCCAGGCGGUGGGACCCGCGGCGCCAGGUCAGCGCGGCCGGCUCUCGCCGCCGGCGACCAAAUGCACGGCGCUGACCCGCCGAAGUUCGCCGGAAAAUGCUCACAGGGCACGGAUCCGUGCGCGCAUGGGCUCGUUCGAACGAGCGUGAAGAGGCGCAUCUACUGGUGGCGGUGGCGUGGCCGGAGAUGGCCGGAAGUGACGGCGGCGAGCCCAUCGGCGGAUGGUCGUAGUCGGGCGUGAGUGGAUCCAGCGCUAGGGGGCACGGGAAGGCAUGUGUGCGCGCGCGUUGGGUUCCUGGAAGCUCCAGGAACACGGUGACGGGCUCAGGCGAGCAAGACUACGGCUGUGGCGACGGCCACGAGCUCGUCGGCGGCGGACAAAAACAGGCGCGGUGGCAAACUAGCUACCGUGCGAUAGGAAGCUAACUGAGAGGGCGGGAGGCCGAGGAGCUCACCGAGCGGCACACACGGAGGCCGGUGAAAGGUUUCGUAGCAGCAGAGGGGCGUCGCCGGAGUUGGUGAAGAGCGGCGGCGACAGGAGAUGCGGAAGAAGGGGACCGUUGCAGCAGCGCCUCCAAGCUCCAGCUGCGGCCACCGGUCGACGAGGAAGACGACGGCGGAGACGACGGACACGCUGGCGAGGCGAGGCGAUGGCUGUGGCCGCGCGUUUCACGGCGGCGGGUCCAUGGCGGCGUUCGGACGCGGCGGGGAACGAAGGGGAGAAGGAAGUGGAUCUGAGGGGGGAGGCGCAGAGGCCGAGAGGGAGAGCGGGGGCGAGUGGGAGGCGGGAUCGAGGAGGCGGGGCGUGGCGGCCUUAUCCUCUCCUCGACGCCGGCGAGGGGGUCCGGCAGGGACGCGCCCCUGUUCCGACCCUGGUCGGGGGAACAGGGAAGGGGAGGGAGCGACCAAGGGAGGCGGCUGGGCCGGCCAGAUGGGCCAGGUGGGCCGGCCUGGCUGCGAGCUGGGCCGUCUGGUCUAGGGGGUCCUUUUCUCUUUUUUUCUCUUUUGUCUUCUGCUUUUGUAUUUUCUUUUCUUUUCCUUUUCUGUUUUAUUUAAUUUAGGGCAUUUAAGUAUUUUAUAAAAUUGUGUCUUCUACACCAUAAUUACCUAUGCCAUUUUUGGCACUGCCCGAACAUUUUUGUUUCAACUUUUGAAAACUUUGGGUGUUUGUCACUAAUUCAUUUUUUUAAAUUUGAAAUGUUUUGAACUAACACUUGAUUAGCAACAGUAACAGAGAUGACAUGGCAUCAUCAGGAGAGUUUUACUGUAGCCUAAUUAUCCGGGCGUUACAGGCGCCACCAAAGAGGUUGUACACUAAUCGCCGCAUUUUCUUCUUGAUUCGAUCUCACGGUGCUGCCGGCGCUCGUCCUGAGCCGACACGGCGCGGCUCCAUCCACUGCGGCGUCGCCGGCCACUUCCUCCGCGGCGUCGCUCCCUCGGUGGCGACGUCCACAUCAGUAGGAGCUACUGCUGCUUUAGCUCUCACUCGCGCUGCUGCUCUGCUCUUGCUCUCGGUCCCCUGCCUUGUCUGCUCUUGCUCUUGCUCGCGCUGCUGCUCUCGCUCUUGCUCUUGCUUGUGAUGCUGCUCCGAUUUAGCUACACUUCAGUCAACUGAAUCGACUUUUGGGUCAGUCGAUUUUCAGGGGGUGGGGGGUCUCACCGGAGUUAAGGAAGAAACAGGCACGGCAGGGAGGGGGGCUCGCCGGAGAGGUACCCCACUAUCUAUCUUAGGGUUCAGGGUGGGGGCGGUGGCGUCGGGAUCGCCGUAGAAAAAGCUCGGCACGGGAGGGCCAAGAGGGAUGGCCGGGGCGGCGGCGGACCGACGGUGGGGAGAGUUUUCAGAGCGGGCGGGGCGGCGCACCGCCGGCUGCGGGCGGCUGUUUGGCCGGUGGUGGUUGGCGGCUCAUGGGGGCUGGAGGUUGAAGAUGAAGUGCAGGCCCUUCAUUUCGUAUCCAACGGCUGCAAAAUCGACUAACAGAGAUGAAAAAGUCAGUCGACUGACGUGUAGCCUCACCUCUAGUGCGUUCAGUUUCGACAGUAAAAUUCAGUUUCGACAGCAAAAUUCAGUUUCGAGAGUCAAGUUCAGUUUCGACAGUUAAAUUCAGUUUCAACAGUUAAGUUCAGAGAUGAGUGGCUGAUGUAUUUUACAUCUAGCACUUUGUGGUUAUGUAUUUUACGUCAUCUAUUGGAGAUGCUAUUAGAAUUCCACUCAGGUUAACGUUGUCUCUCUUGUCCUGCUUCAGCCUCGGCGUCGUACAACUCACCGGAGCUGCUCCAACGACGAAACCCUCCAUCACAGCGGAGCAGUACCUCGGGCUCCAUCUCCAGACGCCUAAGAUCUUCUUCCCCUCCUCCGAUAGCCAAGUCAGCCGGAGCAUCCUCACCGGCCAACCCAAUCACGCCGAGAUCGACAUGGCUUCGCCAAAUAGGUUGUACACUUCUUGUGGUUUGACUUAAUCUCACCAUGCUUCUUUGCAUCCUGUGAUCUUCCAAUUCUUCUGAACCAAACACCCAGAUUGGCAGAAAUCCUGUGUUUUUAAAUUCUCUGUUUUGCACGUGCAUUCCUAUCCUAUUCCUGUCUAUUUCCUAUCCCUGCAUUGUUAGAGUCCUCCAAUUCAAACAAGCCCUUACACAAUUACUUCUGUUACAGAUAUGUGUCAAAGAAAACCUUGUGUGGUUUGUCCUGCUCCUGCGGUGAUGUGUUCCACCCCAGCUCAGCUGCUCCAACGACGGAAGGGUUCACCACAGCAGGGAUCCGCUCUCCAGACUGUCUUUCGCCACCUCAGAUCUUCUUCCCCGCCGCCGGCAGCCACGACAACUGCAUUACCAUCAUCAACUGAGCAGAUGACCUUGAGGACUACACGGGUCCGCAAGAGAGGUCGCACUCUUCCGUGUCUGCUUAUGUUAUGCAUCGCUUAAUAUGAUGACAUGCUACUUUAUCGUCGUGUUCACCUAUUAGACUCCGAGUCAGGUCCAAACUUAUGCUGAAACUUGAGUUUUUAAAUGGUUGUGAGGUACAUAUUGGGGCAGCAAUCAGUACUAUCUGUCUACUAUCUGGUUAAUCUCGAGUGUCUACUAUGAGUUUCAUGUUGGGGGCAAACAAACAUUAAAGGAGCCAUUAUCUGUAUUUUUUAACUAAAGCUAUUAUCUGCUUGCUAUCAUUGGUUUUGGGUCUAUCCACAGUUUGCUACCAUCACUCUGGAUUUCUGCAUGCACUCCUUACAUAAUCUCACUAUGUUUUAUUCCUAUGCAUGUCAGUUAUUGUACACAAUGGAACUGAACAUGUAGAGCAAAAGAGACGAGCCUUGUGUGGCAAUAAAAUUUCAUGCAGACGUCGCUCCAUGGUGGGCGCAAAGGCAGCCCCCCUCCACCCAUUUCGGAAUGUAAUCAAGAGGAAGAUAACUGUUCUGAGGGGGAUUCAGAAGCAGAAGACCACUCCUAUUUACCCCAUGAGGUCUUCGCUCUAACUUGGCAUGCUGAUGUUGGUAAUAUCAUGCAUAUGGUGCCUUGCAUUGCUUACUGUAUACAUCAAAGAUGUCAUCUGCUUAGUUUAGACAUGCUUUGUGUCAAUGCCAUCUGUUUAGUUUCUUUAUCGUAUAUGUGAAUCAUGCAAUGCCAUCUUGUUUAGCCAGGCAUCAUAUAUGUGAAUUUUGCAAUGCUACCCUGGUUAGCCAGUCAUCUUAUAUGUGAAUUAUAUCAUGACAUCAUUUUUUAUUACGUGUUAAAUUUGUCAACAAUUUUAGUACAUUCAAUUACUCUUCCUGUGCAUCAGCCAUUCGGCACGGUCAUGGAAAAUCUGGAGUGGAAACAAGGUCUUCAGAGCAGACAAUGCUAUCUGACAAAGCGCAUGUCUUGUUGGUUACAGAUAGCUCCUCGGAGGAGGAUUCAGAGACAGAUGACUAGUCCUAUUCCCCCCCCCCGAGGUGCAUGCUCUAACUUGGCAGGGUUAUGUUGCUCAUAUCGUAUGUAUGGUAUCUUGCAUUGCUAUGUCAUUUGCUUAGUUUAGACAUGCUUUGUGUGAAUGCCACCUGUUUAGUGUCUAAUUACCAUAUAUGUGAAUUAUGCAAUGCCAUCUUGUUGCAAGACAUUAUAUAUGUGAAUUAUGCAAUGCUAUCUUGUUGCAAGGAAUUAUAUAUGUGAAUUAUGCAAUGGCAUGCUGUUUAGCCAAGCGUCAUAUAUGUGAAUUAUAUCAUGCCGUCCUUUUUUUGUAUUUCUCAUUGCUUUUGUCGACAAUGUUUGUAUAUUCAACUGCUCUUCCUGUGCAUCAGCCAUUUGAAUUGGUGAUGGAGAAAUCUGGAGUGAAACAAAGGACUUCAGAGCAGACAAUGCUACCUGCUGAAGCAGAUAUCUUGCUGGUUACAGAUAGCUCUUCAGAGGAGGAUUCAGAGGCAGAUGACCAGCCCUAUUAUCCCCCUGAGGUGUAUGCUCAAACUUGGCAGGGUUAUAUUACUCAUAUCAUGCAUAUGUUGUAUUGCAAUGCUUAGUUUUUACAUCACAUACACGAUAUUGAAUGCCAUCUCCUUAGUUGACACAUCAUAUAUGUGAUUGCCCUCUGCUCACUUCCUUAGUAUAUAAAUCAUAUAUUUGAAUUAUAUCAUGCCAUGAUGUUUACAUAGACAGCAUGUACUGAAUUAUGGCAUGCCAACCCAUUUUCUAAAGACAUAAUAUAGUUAUAUCAUCUCAUCCUGUUCACAUAGUCAUCAUAUUUUGAGUUAUGUCAUUCUAUCCGUGAAUUAUAUCAUGCCAUCAUGUUUCCAUCGACGGCAUGUUUGUGAUUUAUGGCAUGCCAACCACUUUAAUAGACACAUCGUAUAGUUAUAUCAUGUCAUCCUGUUUACAUAGUCAUCAUAUUUUGAAGUAUGUCAUUCUAUCCUGUUUAGUUAGCCAUCAUACAUGUGAAAUUGUGUCAUGCUAUCCUGUUUAAUUAGCCAUCAUAUAUGUGAAAUUAUGUCCUGCUAUUCUGUUUGGUUAGACAACAUAAAUGUCAAUUAUUUCAUGCCCUGUUUUCUUCCCUACUAUCCAUUGCACCUGUCUAUCUUACAAUGUUUGUACAUUCAAUUACUUUUCUUGUUUAUCAGCCAUUUCAAUUGGAGGGGGUGAUGGCAGUAUCUGUGGGAGUAAAAACAUGGUCUUCAGAAAAGAUCGUGCUACCUGUCGAUGGAGAUAGAACCACGGUUGUACUUGCCCAAGAACCAGCCCCACCACACAUAACCGAGACUCACGCAGAUUGUACCCCUACCCAGUUGGACAGAGAACCAGCUACACCCCUUCUAACCCCAACCCCAGCAGAUAGUAACCCAGUUCCCGUUGACACAACACCAUCUCCACCACAAAGCACCCAAACACGAGCAGUUAGUAAGGCAACUGCAGUGCCCAAAGCACGAGGACCACCACUCCGAACCCCAAGUCAACGCUUAAAGCAGAAGAAGAGUUGUUCUCAGGUCAGGUUCCGUAGCUAUGGUUCAUACUACUUUGCUCUUGCAUCACUGUAUUUACUCAUACCAACUAAUUUCAAAUUUGAAGGAUGCAAUUGAAACUCCAAUGGCGCAACAGGUAUGUUUUAAACCUGUUUCAACGUGUUUGCUGUUGUAACUUGCUCUAUGUUGAUUUCAGUUUCAAUUGAAUAAACAAUUAUGUUCUCAUGCCAUGCACAUUACAAGUGUUGUUAUUGCUGUGUAGUUUCCCACACUUAUAUUCUGUCUAUGCUGCUUUGUCUUAAAUAGAUAUGAUUCGAACUGUAUCUAUCUUGAUUUGGCAACAUAAACUAGAAUGAUAUAGACCAUACAGUGACCAUACUACAUAGAUAUAUGUUUGUUUCAUGCUGUUAUCCUGUCCACCUUACUACUGAACUGGUUUACCAAAAUGAGUUUCAUAUACUACAUUGUAAACUUGUGAUGUGUUUGUUUGUUUCUCUUUUAGAACGCGGAUAAAAUAUUGGAGAAGAGUACCCCAUUAUGCAAUGGUAAAGGAAGUAAUGCAGAUAAGGUUCAAGAUAGUGAGACAUCCCUGUUGGUCUCCAAGAAAGCUGAUAAAAACUAUAUUGAAGACACUGAGACAACCCCAAAGUCCUGUCUGAUGUAGUGUUCGAGUUAUUGGCUACUACUACUGGCACCAGCUCUUCGAACUCGUUGCCUGAAUCAGUUCAACUUCUUGAGUCUCAACUUCAAGUUGAAAGACAUCGAUCAGAUGUUAUGCGACAGGAAGCCGAAGAACUGAGGAAGUCCCUGCAGAAUUCAGAUGCAUACUUUCUGGUGCAACAGCAAGUGCUGGAGGUUUUAAGCGCCAAACACAAGAAAGUUAAUAAGCUUGCUAAGCAUCUUGCCAGCAUUAUGGGUACCCAGGAUAUUGUUUCUUGAGCUCUUCUGAAGUGGUUUCAGCUCUGGACUUGUUUUGCUGCGGCGUUUAUAUGCUGCUUUGUUCCCUAUAUUUGCACUGGUGGCGAACUUUGAUGCCCAGUGGAUGUAAUAUGUGUAAUAGCCGUGAUAGCCUAGCGUAAGUUGCUCGCUUAUUUAUUUCCUUAUUGUCUUGUUUAUUUUUUUCUUGUAGUCAGUGUAGUUCUUUUUCUGCGGUUUGCUAGUGGCCGCAAUAACCUAUUUUUUAAAACUAGGCCACAUUAACCAUGGGCUAUAUAUUUACUGUAGUUAACAUGGGCCUCCUACGGGCCGUAGAAACAAUGGGCCUUCUAAGGGCCGUAGAAACAAUGGGCCUUCUAUGGGGUGUAGAAACAAUGGGCCUUAUACGGGCCAUAGACACAAUGGGCCUUCUACGGGCCAUAGACACAAUGGGCCUUCUACGGGUCGUAUCAUCAAUGGGCCUUCUACGGGUCGUAUGAUCGGUUGGCCAGACAUGGGCCAAUAACAGACCACAUUAUGGCCGUAAAUGGGCUAGAGUUGAAAUCGUCCAUUCAUGGGCCGACCAUAACGGGCCGUCGUUAAUCGGCCGUAUUUGAUGACGCUAUGAAAAUGGCCCAACGUAUUAACGGGCCACAAACGGGCCGACUGUAACCACGGGCUAAAUUUGGCCCACAAGCAGAAAAUGACAGUAACGGGCCGAAAGUAAACGAAUGCUGGAAAUGAGCCCAAGAAUAAAUGGGCCCUGAGAAGGCCGAAAGAUAACAUGGGCUGGAAAAGGCCCAACGGAAUAAUGGGCCGUUAAUGGGUAUAAAGUGAUACGCUGUUCAUUACGGGCCAGUUUUACCACGGGCCGUUAAUGGGACGAGGGUUACUAAGGGCCUCAUAUGGGCCGAAAGACGUCAUGGGCCAUACAUGGGCCGGAAGUUAAAACGGGCUGGAAUUAUAUUGGACGGCCCAGAUGACGCUACUGGGCCUGAUUCGGAUAGGCCGUAAAUGGGCCCUGGGUUAGUGGGCUGUAAAUGGGCUAUAUGCGAACAGGCCGUUAACAGGCUUGCCGUGGGCCAGGCCGCCACCUUUUGACCAAGUCAAACGGGCCGGCCUUUUCACAGGAAUGGGCCUCUGUUGGGCCGUGCCACGUGUCGACCUAUCAUAGGCGCUUUGGGUCCAAUGAGUGGAUGACAUCUGUCCCAACGGUGAGCCGACACGUGUUUCCUCCAGCCAAUGAUGAUUUUACACGUGGAAAAUCCCCAUUGGUCGGGGCUGUUAACGGGUUAUCAGAUCCAAAACCGGACCCGAUAGCUUAACGGCGUUCCGUUACGGUGGAUGCCAUGUGUCGGUCACCCUUGACGAAAGCACUUCUGUGACGCGCGAUUUAUCGUCAUGGAAGUGGACACUUCCGUGAUGAUAAUUUUGGUAAUGUCAUGGAACACUUCUACGACAGCACAGGUAUGACUAUCUUGAUUCUGUUAUAAAAUUGUCAUGGAUGUAUAUGCAUGACAGAAAACGUGACCUACUGUGACAAACACGUAUCAUCACAGAAGUGUAUUUUUUUGUAGUGAUGGUAACAGACGCUCAAAGUUGUAUCCCGAUCUACUACAACGAUUACUGGAUACUUGUGUUACUAAACUGAUAUGAUGGCUCCAGUGUCGCUUCCUCAUGGGGUAGACGAGGAAGGAUCUCUGGAAUUGCUAUUAUAUACUUGUUACUAUAUGAUAUGUUACUCUACUCUCUUCUGUUGCUGUAAGAUGCUAGUCUUUGAUAGGCUAGGCCUUUUCCUCCAUUUUGGCAAUUCUGCAGUAUAGUCCACAGAUACAUCCCCUUCCCCUUAAUACUUAUGCAUACUUAGUAUAGAUCUAUUGUAAGUCUUGCAGGUACUUUGAAUGAGUACUCACGAUCGCUUUGCUACAUUUUUCCCUCUAUCCGAUUGCUGCGAUCAGAUGACGGAGCCCAUGAGACAGCUGAUUCCGGCGACGACUACUACUACACCGACGGAGCCUACUACUUCGUGGAGACCGACGACGAGGAGUAGUUCAGAGGCUCUCAAGCAAGAGACCUACGCCUUUUCAAUAUAGAUGUCAUUUUUUGCUCAACCUUCUUAAGACAAACUUGUCUAAUUAUGUCUAUACUCAGAUAUUGUUGCUUUCACUGACUUAUGUAUUCGAGCCUUCGUGGCCCUGGCUUGUAAUAUAAAGCUUUAUGUUUGAAUUUGUGUCUUGAGUUGUGUUGUGAUAUCUUCCCGUGAGUCUCUGAUCUUGAUCGUGCGCAUUUGCGUGUAUGAUUAGUGCACGAUUAAGUUGGGAGAGUCACAGUCUCCUUCGGGUCCAUGGUUCAAUGGCGGGAGGGAAGAAGAGAGUGGGGAACAUGCCGGGAAUUUGGUGAAGAGUGGCAAGAUGGAAUAAUUGAAUAAGAGAGUGUGGGAUUUUGCCAUGAAAACAGUGCGGGCGGUUACAAAAGCGCUGGCUCUGCCUAUGUUUUUGUUAGGCCGAGGGUGUCGGAGUCCUAUGUGGCUUGUGUUCGGACACCGGCAAAGCCCCCCUCUCCCUAGUUUGAUUCGACUUUGCGGGAAAAUUAUGGUCCAGACUACUCCGCGAACCGAUGGGGUCGACGUUGGAUGGCUUGCAGGGUUCGGAUGGAUAAAGACGGUUUGAGGGUCGGCGUUGGAGAUGCCCUAAAACCAAAGAGUAAACCUUCAUGGUAGGGAAUUCCCCCUUGCAUGAGCCACAACCCCCCUCCUAGCCCAACUAGGAGCCAAUAGACUCAUGGACCAAAGAUCGCCUACCCUCCAACCUCCUCAUUUUAAGGGUAGCUUGGGCCAUUUUUCAAGGGCACCUAGGUUAUAAGCCCCAUGGGCAUGUAACUCAUUCACUCCCACCUACAUAAACUCACGAGGAGAACCACCAUCCCUCCAUAGGACCAAGGUUUGCAGGGUAGGAAUUGGAGUCUGAGGGAUCUAGUAAGGAUCAGGCCGCCGAGGGUAAUUGGGACUUCGGGAGCAGCAAUGUUCUAAACGUUCAAUGCGCCAAAAACCUUUCUUGGUGAUUCUUCUCAUGGGAUGUAGGUCACGCUCCAACGAGGCGACUAGACCUAUUUAAAAAAUAUUUUGUGGCGUCGGUGUAUCACGACUUUCAUAAUAAGAGCGUUGUACACACCCCGGAUAACAUUUCACUAACCAUACUACUAAGUAUGCCCCUAAAGACUUUAUUCCUAUUUUUAGAUUUCAUAAUGAGUUGAUGAUUUAAGCUAGAAAGCUGGUAGAUAGCAGAGAUUUAGAAUGUACUCAACUAGAAAAAUGACUUUCACACUCCAUAACCAGCUCAAUUCAACAAUCAAACAACCCUAUUUAAAUGGUUACCUAUAUGGCUAUAUGUGUCGUAUAGGCUUCACAAAACGCCUAGUUUGUCAUGUAAUGUGACCUUAAUAGUGACACAUCACCAUUUACAACUAGUACGGAUGUCCAUCUACUGUUGAGAGCGCUAUACUCACAGCCUCCAUGUCCCAUAUAGAACGCAUUUCAUAUAUGCGCUUGAGGCCAUAUUGACGGUUAUUAUGGCUGGGACCCUAUGGCGACUCUGCUAGAGGUGGUCUAAGGACAUCACAAUGGCAUACCUCAUAUCACCUCCCUCUAUGUUCAAUAUUUUAUAUUAUUAAAACAAAGUCUAAAAUAUAUACGUAAACAAUCCUAAUUUUUUUGUCUUAUCCGCAUUAGAAAAUGGAGUAAUAAAUAAUUUAGAAUUUCAAUCUUUUAGUAUCUAAGUACAAGUGCUAAGAAAAAUAAAAAAAUGAUUGAUUUGCAGCAAUAGAUGUCUUUCACAUGAAACUAAAGAAUAGGUUUUUCUUUUUUGAACGGCGGUUCCAAAAAUGGUACUCCAAGUUGAAAAAGUGUAUUCGUAAAAAUACCUGGAACAAACAUACUUAAUUUUCCAUAGUACAAUCUUAUUCUUUAAUAAAAUCACGAUCAUUUUCUAGUGGCAGUGAGGAUUGAAAACAAAAGGGUUUUCAUGGGCAACAAACAAACAAAUAAAGAUGUUUUGAAAUAAUAUGAAAUGACUUAUCAAAAAAGAUUUUGAGUUAUUCAAUAAUAAUUUGGAUUCUUCUUUGAAUGCACUUCUAUGUGUCGAAUUACUUGGCACAAUAUUCUCAUAACAAAUAUGUCUGAUAUAGAAUCCGUAUAAUAAAACACGAGGAUUAUAUAUGUGAAAAUUAUGAAUAGUGGAGUAUUUUUACAAUAGGACUUACAACUUCAGCCCAUUUCUUUCUGAACAACAAAUGUACAAUGAUGUACCAUUUGUCCAGCUCCCAUUUUUGUCCGACCUAUGUUUGCCCAUUUACAUUUUUUUGAACCAAAAUGAAUAGUCAAAAUACAUGGUAUAAACAUAUACAAAUAAUUAGUUUAAAUUUAUAAGUACAUAGUUCAAACAUAAAUAUUGAUUUGAAGUACAUAGUUUAGGAAUUAAAAAAAUCAUAUGACAAUGCAAAUAUAAUGGUUUUCAUGAUGCAUUCAUAAAUGCUCCACAUGAUCGUUGUCACAUGACCGUUGAGAAGUUAAUUUUUUUUGCGGAAUAAUGAUUUGAAGUAUAUUGAGAAGUUGUUGAUGUACUUCUCGAUCUCGAAGUUGUUGGCGCAUCUUGAGAAAAUGUGCAACUUGCUUUUCCUCUUGUCCAGGGAGGUGGAGAUGUUCUCCAGGCUAUUCAAAAUCAAUAUGGCAUACACCGUCGUCCUCAUCCAGACAUCCUUCACGCUUAUGUUGUGCAUUAUUACACAUGCAGUCAUCACCCCCACGAUGUUUGCAGUCCAUGAAAGAUAUUCCAGUGACUUUGGAGCACAUCAAUCUCUCCUCCGCAUUAUUCGUAACAACUCCUUGCAUUUGGGCAAAGAGAGAUUUUUUUUUUGGUUAUCACAGGGGGCUCGAAGAUCGUCUUCACAACGUCAUCCACUGAGAAUACAUAUCAUCAGUAAGAUAGUAUUGUGUGGUGUGGUUGUUCCCAUUGAUGGUGUACAUGCAUACCGCACAAGUAGGUUGCUUAUUCGGGGCUUCCUCUCAGUUAAUUUGCUCUCAGCUGCUCCCGGACCAUGAAUAUUAAUCGGGCUGUGUGCAAAAAAAAAAGGAAGCACUGACUUUUCUUCCUUCCCGUGCUGUUCGAGCAAGACAGAGACACGUGAAAGAAGUAAUCGUCCCGGCCACAGAUGAAGCAGGCUGUCCUAGGACAGUUGGACUCAGUAACGACAAAUUCUGUAGCAAUUUUGUGAAUUUACUUGUAGCAAUUUUGUAGGGCAAAUUGGUACCAGAAUCACUGAUGAGUUUUCCUAGUUUUUCAGUACUAGUACUACUGUAUAGCCUUCGAUUCGGCAAGAGCAGUACGCAGGCCAUCAGCGUCUGACCAUAUAUGUUGGCGCAGCGGCGCAGGGCAACGACCAGGCAGAGGUCAGAGGCCAGAAUAGCCAGACCAGAGCAGCAGUCCGAUGGAGUCAGAUCUUGUAGAUAAAUGUUGGGUGGCCCAACGCCUCCAACCCAACCAUCACGAAACCGGGUGCGGCCGCCAGCGUAGGUACGUGCAGCUACAGGGUGCUUGACCUGAUCAAAGCUCGCAGCCGCUGGCCAGUUUCACCCAUGCAUCUACCUGCGUUGGCUUUGCCUGGCCUGAUGCUAAUGCCGUUUUGGCACCAACCUCUCCUCUCUCACACGUCCCGCUCAGCUGGCGGUACCUCACACCAAAUCAAGGCUACGUCUACGUACGUACGUCCUCUCUGUUGCAUGCACUGCACGCACACGCAUGCUACACUGUUUCCUCAUGCGAGCUAGCCAGCCCGCGAACCUGCAUGCACACUCAGAACCUGCGAGUAAAUAAAAUCGAUCAAGCAUGGCUCACCUAGCCAAGCAAGCCGGGCGUACCGUGUGGUAGAGUGGUGCAGGGCGUACCACGGUCAGGCGCAUGCGCCGUGCGCCUUCAAUGCGCGCGCAUUGAAUACCUCCCCGGUCCCCCAUUGUUAGGUGCGAGACCAGCCGCGAGCGGCACGCGGCGCGCUCCCGCGCGCGCACCGUCGCGCGCCCGGGCAUGCGCCUGCAUGCAAAGCCGGCGCCACUGACGCGCCGCUGGUUCGGUUCGGAGCGGAGCGGUCCGCCCGCCCGCCCGCCCAACGGCUCCAGCGGCGAUUAAUGGCCUGACCCGGACGUUCCCCCCACGGUGGUGACCUGCACGUCAAACCUUCUUCAUGCCCCGCCUCCAUAUAUCCCGCGCGCACGCAGGGCGGAUGGGGUACGGGCCACUGCCUUGGCCUACUCCUCCAGCUGCAGUGAUCACUGGCCGCCUUCCCAGUCGCUCCCAAGUCGUCGCGACAGCGGCAAACCGAUUCAUUGCCAUCCAUCGCCCUGCUUGCUCUCGCCCCGGCCGCUUCUAUAUAGCCCCGUCCUGCCGAUCACAUUCCAUAUUGCACCACCUCUCCUGUCCUCACCUCACCUCUCGCUGCGCUCCGGCGAUCGAGCUUGGCUAGCUUGGCGAUGGAGGCAGGGACGUGGGCGGUGGUGGUGGCGGCGGCGGCCGCGUACCUGGCGUGGUUCUGGCGGAUGUCGCGCGGGCUCAGCGGCCCCAGGGUGUGGCCGCUGGUGGGUAGCCUGCCGGGGCUGCUGCAGCACGCGGAGGACAUGCACGAGUGGAUCGUCGGCAACCUGCGCCGCACCGGCGGCACCUACCAGACCUGCAUCUUCGCGGUGCCCGGCGUGGCCCGCCGCGGCGGGCUGGUCACGGUCACCUGCGACCCCAGGAACCUGGAGCACGUCCUCAAGGCGCGCUUCGACAACUACCCCAAGGGCCCCUUCUGGCACGGCGUCUUCAGCGACCUGCUCGGCGACGGCAUCUUCAACUCCGACGGCGACACCUGGGUCGCGCAGCGCAAGACGGCCGCGCUCGAGUUCACCACGCGCACGCUCCGCACCGCCAUGUCCCGCUGGGUCUCCCGCUCCAUCCACCACCGCAUGCUCCCCAUCCUGUCCGACGCGGCGGCCUCCGGCGCGCACGUCGACCUGCAGGACCUCCUCCUCCGCCUCACCUUCGACAACAUCUGCGGCCUCGCCUUCGGCAAGGACCCGGAGACGCUCGCCCGCGGCCUCCCCGAGAACGCCUUCGCCACCUCCUUCGACAGCGCCACCGAGGCCACGCUCAACCGCUUCAUCUUCCCGGAGUGCGUGUGGCGGUGCAAGAAGUGGCUGGGGCUCGGCAUGGAGACCACGCUGGCGCGCAGCGUCGCGCACGUCGACCGCUACCUCUCCGCCGUCAUCAAGACGCGCAAGCUCGAGCUCGCCGGCAAGAGCGACGGGUCCACGCCGCACGACGACCUCCUGUCGCGCUUCAUGCGCAAGGGGACCUACUCCGACGACUCCCUGCAGCACGUGGCGCUCAACUUCAUCCUCGCCGGCCGCGACACCUCCUCGGUGGCGCUCUCCUGGUUCUUCUGGCUGGUCUCCACCCACCCGGACGUGGAGCGCAAGAUCGUGCGCGAGCUCUGCGCCGUCCUGGCGGCGUCCCGCGGCGCAGACGACCCGGCAUUAUGGCUGGCCGCCCCGUUCGACUACGAGGAGCUGGACCGCCUCGUGUACCUCAAGGCGGCGCUCUCGGAGACCCUCCGGCUGUACCCGUCCGUGCCGGAGGACUCCAAGCACGUGGUCGCCGACGACUACCUCCCCGACGGCACGUUCGUGCCGGCCGGGUCGUCGGUGACGUACUCCAUCUACUCGGCGGGGCGCAUGAAGACGGUGUGGGGGGAGGACUGCCUGGAGUUCCGGCCGGAGCGGUGGCUGUCGGCCGACGGCACCAAGUUCGAGCCGCACGACUCGUACAGGUUCGUGGCGUUCAACGCCGGGCCGCGCAUAUGCCUGGGCAAGGACCUGGCGUACCUGCAGAUGAAGAACAUCGCCGGGAGCAUCCUCCUCCGGCACCGCCUGGCCGUGGCGCCGGGGCACCGCGUGGAGCAGAAGAUGUCGCUCACGCUGUUCAUGAAGCACGGGCUCCGGAUGGUGGUGCGCCCGCGCGACCUCGCCCCGACCCUCGACGAGCUCCCCGCCGCGGCACCCGCCGUCGCGGCCUGCGCGUAGAAGAUCGAUGUGUAUGGACCCCCGGCGCCGUGCAUGCAUGCUCCACGUACGGUUCGUGCCAUAUGGGGAAGGUCCGGAGGACGAAGUUGGAAGUGGCAAGAAAACUGUGUAGAUACACGAGUCCAACACACCAACAGGUACUACUUAGUAGGUGAGUAUAUCUACAUCGGGAUAAAGGGAUCUGUCUAAAAAUAUCCAAAUCAGAAAGAAAGGGAAACACACAGGGGCAACAAACAAUAAUGCUCCUCUCCUGUACUGUAAUGUACUGUACUGAACUACGUGUGACAGAUUAGAAGUGUAUAAGCUCCAAAUUCGUCUGGGCGGUUUGUGUUAAUGCGCCGCCGAUUGUUGUUGUUGUUGGCAGGGAGGUUGCGUGUGCAAAUGCGAGGUGAAACAUACAACUCGAUCGAGUGAUUAUUUUCUGGAUGGACCCGUUGGUCCGGGCUUAUUAAUUCUUCCCCGUUCUAUUUCUGGCGUCUUGAUUGCCGGUAGCUCGCUGCUCAUGGCGUUAUUGCACGAGGUGGAGAUGAGAUCAGUGUACAUCGCUGUUGUCCAUCUUAAGGUUGUUUGAGGCUCGUGCACGGGACCGAGAGAGCGAUUUGAUAGUGGGAGUUUCUUUGUUGAGGGAGUUCGAUACAUCAAACUCUGAUCCAGGACAGUGCAUCAAAGAGGCAAUACAAACUGAUAAAGAAUUUCGACGUGCCUUUUCAUUCUCAUUUGAUUAUUUGAUCAUUUUCCGGUCGCAAAUUUAUGUUCG